GCCUACGGGUGGCAGCAGUGAGGAAUAUUGGUCAAUGGCCGAGAGGCUGAACCAGCCAAGUCGCGUGAGGGAAGAAUGUCCUAUGGAUUGUAAACCUCUUUUGUCAGGGAGCAAAGUCACCCACGUGUGGGUGUUGGAGAGUACCUGAAGAAAAAGCAUCGGCUAACUCCGUGCCAGCAGCCGCGGUAAUACGGAGGAUGCGAGCGUUAUCCGGAUUUAUUGGGUUUAAAGGGUGCGUAGGCGGGUUAUCAAGUCAGCGGUAAAAUCGUGGAGCUCAACUCCGUCGUGCCGUUGAAACUGCAUCCCUUGAGUGCGCGAGAAGUAUGCGGAAUGCGUGGUGUAGCGGUGAAAUGCAUAGAUAUCACGCAGAACUCCGAUUGCGAAGGCAGCAUACCGGCGCGCAACUGACGCUCAUGCACGAAAGCGUGGGUAUCGAACAGGAUUAGAUACCCCUGUAGUC
Molecule: ribosomal RNA, 460 nt
Filed under: uncultured bacterium
Lineage: Bacteria
Description: partial 16S ribosomal RNA
Rfam family: Bacterial small subunit ribosomal RNA
Source: RNAcentral